UGUCGUCAGCUCGUGUUGUGAAAUGUUGGGUUAAGUCCCGCAACGAGCGCAACCCUUAUCCUUUGUUGCCAGCGGUCCGGCCGGGAACUCAAAGGAGACUGCCAGUGAUAAACUGGAGGAAGGUGGGGAUGACGUCAAGUCAUCAUGGCCCUUACGACCAGGGCUACACACGUGCUACAAUGGCGCAUACAAAGAGAAGCGACCUCGCGAGAGCAAGCGGACCUCAUAAAGUGCGUCGUAGUCCGGAUUGGAGUCUGCAACUCGACUCCAUGAAGUCGGAAUCGCUAGUAAUCGUGGAUCAGAAUGCCACGGUGAAUACGUUCCCGGGCCUUGUACACACCGCCCGUCACACCAUGGGAGUGAGUU
This 366-nucleotide ribosomal RNA is filed under the name Escherichia coli. Its description in RNAcentral is "bacterial SSU rRNA". It matches the Rfam family "Bacterial small subunit ribosomal RNA", at positions 1050 to 1416 of the family's 1533-position model. Lineage: Bacteria; Pseudomonadati; Pseudomonadota; Gammaproteobacteria; Enterobacterales; Enterobacteriaceae. The record is from RNAcentral.